UGUUCCUACGGGGGGCAGCAGUGAGGAAUAUUGGUCAAUGGGCUUACGCCUGAACCAGCCAAGUCGCGUGAGGGAAGACUGCCCUAUGGGUUGUAAACCUCUUUUGUCAGGGAGCAACGCCGGCUACGUGUAGCCGGACUGAGAGUACCUGAAGAAAAAGCAUCGGCUAACUCCGUGCCAGCAGCCGCGGUAAUACGGAGGAUGCGAGCGUUAUCCGGAUUUAUUGGGUUUAAAGGGUGCGCAGGCGGUCUGUUAAGUCAGCGGUCAAAGCCCGGGGCUCAACCCCGGCCCGCCGUUGAAACUGG
Molecule: ribosomal RNA, 305 nt
Filed under: uncultured bacterium
Lineage: Bacteria
Description: bacterial SSU rRNA
Rfam family: Bacterial small subunit ribosomal RNA
Source: RNAcentral